Molecule: long non-coding RNA, 475 nt
Filed under: Homo sapiens (human)
Lineage: Eukaryota; Metazoa; Chordata; Mammalia; Primates; Hominidae
Description: HSALNT0328373
Source: RNAcentral
AUUGUUAUACUGAUAUUUCACACUCUUCUCCUGAUUUCAUCUUCACAGUUUGAAAAGUGACGAGUUAUCAUCAAGCUAGACAAAGAGGAAAUGAAAUGCUGCGGUGAUGGGGAGCUGAGUUGUCAAGUAGUGUUUAUUGAGUCCUUGAGUCCUGUGGAUGCACUUAUGUGCUACAACAAAGCCUAAAAAGAUGCUGAUGAAAUGCAAACAUGGGCAAAUGUAUGAACUCUGAUUCUACUUUGGUGUAAAGCCCUCUUACCCAUGUAGCCUUGGUAGGAGACCUUUCUAACUUCAGAACAUGUCAAGUAGGUUAAAACACCCCUAUUCGACUCAGAUUUUUGGGCGGAUACUGCACUUCAGAUGUUAGCCAGGUUUGGAAGCUCUGUAGCAACGGAUUCUCAUUAGUAGUCUGCUAAACCUAUACUUCGAGAAGUGUUAUCUGAUUUUACACAAAGAAUUGAAGACCUAAAGUUGC